UGGGGAAUAUUGCACAAUGGGCGCAAGCCUGAUGCAGCCAUGCCGCGUGUAUGAAGAAGGCCUUCGGGUUGUAAAGUACUUUCAGUCGGGAGGAAGGUGGUAAGGUUAAUAACCUUGGCAAUUGACGUUACCGACAGAAGAAGCACCGGCUAACUCCGUGCCAGCAGCCGCGGUAAUACGGAGGGUGCAAGCGUUAAUCGGAAUUACUGGGCGUAAAGCGAACGCAGGCGGUUGAUUGAGUCAGAUGUGAAAUCCCCGGGCUUAACCCGGGAAUUGCAUCUGAUACUGGUCAGCUAGAGUCUUGUAGAGGGGGGUAGAAUUCCAUGUGUAGCGGUGAAAUGCGUAGAGAUGUGGAGGAAUACCGGUGGCGAAGGCGGCCCCCUGGACAAAGACUGACGCUCAGGUGCGAAAGCGUGGGGAGCAAACAGG
This 429-nucleotide ribosomal RNA is filed under the name Chloroflexota bacterium. RNAcentral describes it as "Chloroflexi bacterium partial 16S ribosomal RNA". It matches the Rfam family "Bacterial small subunit ribosomal RNA", at positions 355 to 776 of the family's 1533-position model. Lineage: Bacteria; Bacillati; Chloroflexota. The record is from RNAcentral.